CAACAGCAAGUAACGGCUAGUUUUUGAAAUCUAACCAAUGAGGGGUGACCAAUGGAUAAGGAAAAGUAUUUAAAGUAACACUAUUCAUCAGAGAAAAGAUCCUUUUGCAAAUCAAUCAAAGCUCAUUCAAGAAAGAAAAAGCCCUAGCAUUCUUCAUCAAGUGCUUCAUUCAAAGAACCAAAAGGAAGUGGUUGAGCAGAUUCUAAGAGACAUUAAGAGCUCCACCAACCCUUGAAGAGUGAAGCAAUCUUGACAAAGAAGAGAGAAGUCUCAUCAAAGCGAUAACUAUAUUCUAAACUCUUCUUUGUAGCUCAUAGUUGUUAUAUUUGCUCAUCUAGGAGUUUCAACUUUCUUCUUCUUCUUAAUCACCUUGUAAAGGUUUGUUGGUGAGCCCGUAAAACCAACGGUGUAGGUUUGUUGGUGAACCCGUAAAACCAACUGUGAAGGUUUGUUGGUGAGCCCG
Molecule: long non-coding RNA, 463 nt
Filed under: Phoenix dactylifera (date palm)
Lineage: Eukaryota; Viridiplantae; Streptophyta; Magnoliopsida; Arecales; Arecaceae
Description: long non-coding RNA (PDAC_LNC010027)
Source: RNAcentral